Molecule: transfer RNA, 67 nt
Filed under: Plestiodon capito
Lineage: Eukaryota; Metazoa; Chordata; Lepidosauria; Squamata; Scincidae
Description: tRNA-Lys
Rfam family: tRNA
About the family: Transfer RNA (tRNA) molecules are approximately 80 nucleotides in length. Their secondary structure includes four short double-helical elements and three loops (D, anti-codon, and T loops). Further hydrogen bonds mediate the characteristic L-shaped molecular structure. tRNAs have two regions of fundamental functional importance: the anti-codon, which is responsible for specific mRNA codon recognition, and the 3' end, to which the tRNAs corresponding amino acid is attached (by aminoacyl-tRNA synthetases). tRNAs cope with the degeneracy of the genetic code in two manners: having more than one tRNA (with a specific anti-codon) for a particular amino acid; and 'wobble' base-pairing, i.e. permitting non-standard base-pairing at the 3rd anti-codon position.
Source: RNAcentral
CACCAAGAAGCUUCUACAGCACUAGCCUUUUAAGCUAGAGACGGGGACUAAAAUACCCCCUUGAUGA